RNAcentral lists this long non-coding RNA (1205 nucleotides) under Olea europaea subsp. europaea. The record is from RNAcentral. Lineage: Eukaryota; Viridiplantae; Streptophyta; Magnoliopsida; Lamiales; Oleaceae.
AAAACAAUUUUAACAUAAAUAUAUACUUACAAGUAAACUUUUUGAUCUCAGCCUAAUAUAUCAAUUAGAUUAAUAUAACUCGAAUAUUUAUUCUUGUUUCUUCUAAGUUUCUCCUAAUCAAUUUUCAAAGGUAUGAUGUGAUUUUCGUUUUUCCUUGUGAACUGUCAUGAAAUGAUUCUGGAUAAUUGGGACCUUAAUUCAUUUUGUAUUCUUUGUUUUAGUUUCUUCGUCAUCAAUAAUUAUAUUUGUUAGGUUUUAUCAUUGGCGAUUCUGUGAACUAAAAGGACUAAAUUGAAUAUGUGUAAAAGUCAAGAAGUUGGUGCAAUUUUGUAUAGAUGGGUUAGGUAAGUUAGGGUUCGAGUUCGGAAGACAUUGCUCGCCAAAACAUUGCUUGAGCAACAAAAACAGAAUGAUCAUCGCUCGCGUGUUGCAGGACUUUGCUCGAGCGAAACAUCAUUGCUUGCUUCUCGUUGGAGGAUCGCCUGAGCAAUGGUGUUAUUCGGCCAACCCUAAUUCGUGACUUUGAAAAGUUUUACACAGCCUAUAAUACCUAAACAUCGCUAACUAUAAAUACCCAAGUCUUGCAUGAUUUUCUGUGGUAGUUGUUCAUUGUGGCUCUCUUGCAAAACAUAUUCAAAUCGUUCUUUAAAGAUCCAAGAGCCUGUUCCUACCUUCAUUCAAUACAUUUAUCCUUGAGAUUCUACAACUACAUACUUGGGAAAACAUCAAAUCCUUGAGUCCAAAACACUUAGCUUCUUUAACAUUGUAAGGGAGGUACAUUCUCAAUCGAAACUUCAGAGGCUACUGAAUAUUGAAGAAUGUUAGACUACAAGCACAAAAAAAGCAUAAGAAUUGAAGAUUCUUGGAACUCCACAUGGAAGAGAAAAUUGUACAAGAUCAGAAAGCUAGAGGAGACAACAGUAUCUUGAAGAUUACAGGAAGUCUAAUGGAAUUGGCUAGGCAGCAUCUAACUGUAAGACCCGUUGUCUAUAGUGGAUGUAAUGUAACGACCCAAAAUUUUUAAAGGUUUGAAUCGCUACCAAAAUUUUCAUUCAAAUUUUGGAAGCGUGGCAUGCAACAAAAUAUGUAAUUAUGAAAGGGUAAUUUACUUGAAUCCGUGGAAAAGAGAUAUAUAUUAAUUAAUAGAUAGGAAAGAAAGAAUAUUUUUCUAUGCCAUAACUUUAACGUGUACAUUUUAAAAAAAG